This 253-nucleotide ribosomal RNA is filed under the name uncultured bacterium. Its description in RNAcentral is "partial 16S ribosomal RNA". It matches the Rfam family "Bacterial small subunit ribosomal RNA", at positions 524 to 776 of the family's 1533-position model. The record is from RNAcentral.
UACAGAGGGGGCAAGCGUUGUUCGGAAUUACUGGGCGUAAAGGGCGCGUAGGCGGCCUUCUAAGUCGAACGUGAAAUCCCCGGGCUCAACCCGGGAACUGCGUCCGAUACUGGAAGGCUUGAAUCCGGGAGAGGGAUGCGGAAUUCCAGGUGUAGCGGUGAAAUGCGUAGAUAUCUGGAGGAACACCCGUAGCGAAGGCGGUUCUCUGGGCCGGUACUGACGCUGAGGAGCGAAAGCGUGGGGAGCAAACAGG